Molecule: ribosomal RNA, 262 nt
Filed under: Elusimicrobiota bacterium
Lineage: Bacteria; Pseudomonadati; Elusimicrobiota
Description: partial 23S ribosomal RNA
Rfam family: Bacterial large subunit ribosomal RNA
Source: RNAcentral
CGCAGGAAACUUGAGAGGACUCGUUCUUAGUACGAGAGGACCGGAAUGAACAUACCUCUGGUGUUUCGGUUGUUCCGCCAGGAGCAUUGCCGAGUAGCCAAGUAUGGAUGAGAUAAACGCUGAAAGCAUAUAAGUGUGAAACUCGCCUCAAGAUAAGGUUUCCCUGAAGGGCACUUGUAGACUACAAGUUUAAUAGGUCAGAAGUGGAAGUGCGGUAACGCAUGCAGCUAACUGAUACUAAUCGCCCGUUCGGCUUGGUCGC